Molecule: long non-coding RNA, 1888 nt
Filed under: Paramuricea clavata
Lineage: Eukaryota; Metazoa; Cnidaria; Anthozoa; Malacalcyonacea; Plexauridae
Source: RNAcentral
CUCCUUAGGCCUCCUUAGCCCUCCUUAGGCCUUUGUAGGCCUCCUUAGCCCUCCUUAGCCCUCCUUAGCCCUCCUUAUGCCUCCUCAGCCCUCCUUAUGCCUCCUUAGCCGUCCUUAGGCCUCCUUAGCCCUCCUAAGACCUCCUUAGCCCUCCUUAGCCCUCCUUAGGUUUCCUUAGGCCUCCUUAGCCAUCCUUAGGCCUCCUUAAGCCUCCUUAGGCCUCCUUAUUCCUCCUUAGCCCUCCUCAUGCCUCCUCAGCCCUCCUUAUGCCUCCUUAGCCGUCCUUAGGCCUCCUUAGCCCUCCUAAGACCUCCUUAGACCUCAUUAGCCCUCCUUAGCCCUCCCUAGGUUUCCUCAGGCCUCCUUAGCCCUCCUUAGCCCUCCUUAGGCCUAGUUAGGUGUCCUUAGGCCUCCUUAGCCCUCCUUAUGCCUCAUUAGCCCUCCUUAGGCCUCCUUAGCCCUCCUUAUGCAUCCUUAGCCCUCCUUAGGUCUCCUUAGGCCUCCUUAGCCCUCUAGGCCUCGUUAGGCCUCCUUGGGCCUCCUUGGGCUUCCUUAGCCUUCCUUAUGCCUCCUUAGCCCUCCUUAUGCCUCCUUAGCCCUCCUUAGGCCUCCUUAUGCUUCCUUAGCCCUCCUUCGACCUCCUUAGGCCUCCUUAGGCCUCCUUAGGCCUCCUUAGCCCUCCUUAGCCCUCCUUAGGCGUCUUUAGGCCUCCUUAGGCCUCCUUAGCGUUCCUUAGGCCUCCUUAGCCCUCCUUAGCAAUCCUUAGGCCUCCUUAAAUCUCCUUAGGCCUCCUUAUGCCUCCUUGGCCUCCUUCGACCUCCUUAGCGUUCCUUAGGCCUCCUUAGGCCUCUUUAGGCCUCCUUAGCCCUUAGGCCUAAACGAUUGUUGCCGAACGUGAGGGCAUUGUCAAGUGAUAACAUUUCAGUUCAGUGCAGGAAUAAAUUGUUGUCAAACGCGUUUUUGUUGUUGAAUAUUUUGAUAUUGUCACCAAAUUUUCAGUUGCAGUUGCCAUAAAAUCAUUGCCAGUUUGGAAAUUCCAACUUUUAGUUUAUGCGUGGGGGGGGGGGCGAUGGGAAUUAAAGUAACAUAUUGCUGAUUAUGCUGAAAAAAUAAUAUUGAAAUAUUCGGUGGUUUCGAAUAUGUAUUUUUUUGAAAACUAAACGUCCCAGAUAUUUUUUCGCACGUUAAGUUCAUCAACUUUAAAAGCAAGGGAAAUUUGUCUAAAAUAGGGAAAUUUUGAGCAUUUUUUUGAGAUUGGAAGCACUGAGACGUGAUACGACCCACUGACACUGAGCUAUACCAUCAGUGAACUUUAUGUAGUAUGUAAGCCAUGUUUAUUGUUUACUAUAUAGUUCAAUAUACGAUACGACCGUCGCGUGGACUCCCAAGAUAAAAAUAUCAGUGACGUGGUCUAACGCCCGUAUUCUAAAAGCACACUCAAUGAGUGGAAGUUCAAUCUAAGAUUCUCUUGAGUACCGAUGCUGUUUUCGAAUAGCUGGAGGGUGAGCAUUCACUUAGUACGGUACGACACGAACCCUCCAGCUAUUCAAAAACAGCAUCGACACUGGAAGUAAGCAGCCAGAAGCUGACUGGAUUGAACUUCCACUCAUUGAGUGUGAGUGAGCUUUUACAACUACAAGGGCGUCCGCGUAAGAUUCCUUAAGGAUCUAUAAUAAGGUGUAAAGACCUGAUAGGAAGUUUAAUUAGAGGUCGGGAAUCUUCGAGUUAAGCCCUUCGAGUUAAGCCACGACCACGCCAUGUUUUGCCAUGACCGCGGCCUUUUUCAAAAAGGGCUUAACUCGAAGAACGAAACACGAUUUGGGUUAUUCGAGUUAAGCCCCGGGGCUUAACUUGAAGUUUGACAAAAAAAAUUGUUGCUCGAGUUAAG